AUUACAACUGAAAGUCCCGCUAAAUCAGUUUAAUACCUCCUAACUGACUUUUACAUUUUUACUCAUAUGCCCUCGGUUCAUUUUACAAGAAAUACCUAACAUUUCUGAUUAUCUACCACAGCUUGAUCAUGGUGAAAGAUGAUUUUGGUAGAGUUUUUGCACUUGAGAUGGGAAUGGGGGAAGUUGCAUUCUAUCUGUUUGUGAAAUUAACGCAGUGGCUUCUACCUUUCUCAGGUAUUUUUGUGGAUAAAUCCAUUCUCUCUUAAAAUUUUGAUAGAAAUGAAUUUGAAUAAGAGCUAUAGAAGAUCAGAACAAAUUGCAUUGGAUGGUUAUACAUUCGUAUAAAUGAGUUUAACAAUGUAAUUUUCUUUAUAAGGUUCUUGAAAUCCAUGCGAUAAUAUCAACUGUUAUGCUGCUUUUAAUUUCAUUUUCUUUCUCCUUUUCUGCUAAAUUAGUAACAUGUACAAGUGAAAAGGGCAACAAAAUAUAUACAAGUAAUGGCAACUACUUUGGGUCUAAAUAUGUAAUAGAGAAUCUAUUGGAUAGAGACAAUCUAUUGAUGUUAAAGGAGCCAAGCUAUGUACAUUGCACUGCCACCAUUGUAUCCUAAUGCAUGUCACAAUCUUCUCUCUAUUCAAACAUCAAACCAAAAGGACAAAACUAUGAGCUUAAUUUACAAAUAGCUUUCUUGAUGGGGGGACAUGGGCUUUUGGAAAAAGGAUAAUUAACACAGAACAACUCUCACAAAUCUCAAUCAAUUCUAAUAAUUCAACGUAUCAAAAUAAUAAUGUACUUCACUAUUUAUAAUACUCCUAGACAACUUUCAAUACCUGAAUUGAACUCUAAUAAGAUAACUAUAAAUUAAAGGAAUUAAUUAAAAUACAACUUCUAGGCUAUGUUUGUUUGCAAGGAUUAUAAUUAUAAUGUCAAGACUAUUAAGCCAUUUUAUAAUCCCGAGACUAAUAGUCUAAGUCUAAAUUUGAAAACAAACAAGACACUUGAGAUUAAUAGUCAUAUCCCAAGUAAAAUCAUUGCAAACAAACAUAGCCCUAAUAUAUGGGCUACCAAAGCCUUUUAUAUUGUUCUAACCAGGUCUCAUGGCGGGCUUGUCCUACAUCAGUUCUAUUUAGCCGAGAAAAAAGUCGACUUUGUCCAGUUAUGAACAUUAACACAAGAACAAUCACGUCGGAUCACAAAGGAAUUUUUUACAAGCUUCAAAUUGGGCAUGUCGAGAGCACAAGUAAGAGUGAAAUUAGUAUUGCCCUUAACAAUUGAAUUAGUAAUGGCCUGAGUAUCAUGUUGUGCGUGACAAACCCAUAACCAUUUGCGCCCUAAGAUAAUGUGACAAACCUUUAAGUGGUAGAACAUCACAUUACGAUAUCCUUAAGCUUGCCAACAACAAAUGUAACCAAACACCUUUGAGUAACCUGCAACUUUCUAUUGGUAAUCCAUGCAAGAUAAUAUUGUAGAUCAACACUAAGCCUCUGUUUUUAUUAUAAAGUACAACUUUAUACACUACAAUAUCAUACGGCACCGGGGUGAUGCUCAACUUUUAACCCAAGUUUCUUGCUUCCUCAUAGAUAACAUAUGUAAAACUCCCAGUAUCAAUCAAAAGAGAGCAUACAUGUCCCUCACAUUUGACUCUUGUUUGAAUUUGGGAUGAAUUUGGUUGGAUACUGUAUUGAUAAUGCUAGUUUGGGACAAAAGUUUUGUUGGUGGCAGCGACUGGUGUGGGUGAUAUGUCAGUGCUUCGUCUUGGGGUCUGGGGGGAUGGUUGAGGGUUGGAUUGAAUUUAGCUAUGAUAUCAAAAAUGAUGGGGGCUAGGGGUUUUGGAAAAAGGAUAGUUAUCACACAGAACAAUUUUCACAAAUCUCAAUCAAUUCUAAUAAUUCAAUGUAUCAAACUAAUAAAGUACAUUACUAUUUAUAAUACUCCUAGAUAACUUACCUAACCAAAAUUGGACUCUAAUAAGUUAACUUCAAAUUAAAUAAGAUAACUACAAAUUAAAGAUUAAAAUACAACUUCUAAUUUAUGAGCUUUCAAAGCCUUUUAUAAUGUUCUAACCAAGUCUCGGGCUUGUCCGACAUUAUUUCUUGGCAUAAUUAUGAGUAUACAGUUUUAAUGCAAGCUAUGAAUACAUACAGGGUGAAAAAUUAAAAGAAUUAUAUACAUGUGCAAAAAAAGGCACCAAAAGUAUAGAAAAACUAAUACCUAGGGGAGACCAAUGUAUUACUUUCACUGGAUGAAGAAAAAUGAGACAGGUUAUGACUAUUUGAUUCAACUUGUAUCCUUUCAGUGAAAAAACCAGGCUGCUUAGGCUGAGGCAGUUCAAUUUCACUACUCAACAUCAGAACCACAAAUGACAUGUUUGGUCUGUCUUCGGGGUAUGGUUGCACACAUAAUAAUCCGAUUUGUAUUGCUCGAAACACUUCUAACUGAUUACAUGACUCCACAAUUGAACCGGUAAUUAGUUCUAAAAACUCGCCUGCUGUAUAAAGUCUCCAUGCCUGUACAGUAAUUGGAUAUUAAUUUUAUUGGUAGCUAUUAAACCAUGAAAUAUUGACAUUAGGACACAUUAUUCUUGGCACUUACAUGACCAAGAAGGUUAUGGCUGGGAUCUGGAUCAUAGAACCCUGUCAUUUUCUUCCCGCUAACUAUCUCUAGCAAUAAUACACCGAAGCUAUAAACAUCAGAUUUAACUGAGAAUAUUCCAUCAAGGGCAUACUCGGGAGACAUGUAACCACUGCAAGAUAAUUUAAAAAAAAAUCAAUUUCAAAGAAAUAUUGGAAUUAGAAGGUGUGAACUGUUGCAGAGAUUCUUACAAUGUUCCAACCACUUUUGUUGUAUUUGUUAUCCUUCCACUUCCUCCAAAACUUCUAGCCAUGCCAAAAUCUGAAAUUUUUGGAUUCAUCUCAUAAUCAAGCAAAAUAUUGCUUGCUUUUAGAUCUCUAUGAAUGAUUCUCACUAUGGAGUCCUGGUGGAGAUAGAGAAGCCCUCUAGCGACACCAUUUAUGAUGUUAUAGCGCUUUGACCAGUCCAAAAACUUGCUUAGAUAUUUAUCUGUCCAAUUUUUUGUACAAGUUAAUUUAUGUUGCUAUACUUUUGCAUUAUAUCAGUGAGUAAUUUCUUGGGAAAGUAAUUUGAAGGCAACAGUAUUUCAGACUCAAAAUUUAAGCAACAUAUGAACACGUCGAGAUAAAACGUACCAAAAAUAAAGGAAUCUAAGCUUUUGUUGGGCAUGUAUUCAUAAAUCAAUAACAUUUCCCCUUCCCCAAUGCAGCAUCCUAGAAGUCUCACAAGAUUUCGGUGCCGAAGUUUGGCUAUGUACGAAACUUCAUUUUUGAACUCAUCUAAUCCCUGUCUUGAAUCCUUUGAGAGCCUCUUUACAGCUAUUUCUCGUCCCUCAUCCAAGAUGCCCUGAAAACAAUCAUGGUGAUAGUUUCAUAUUCUGUUCAGUGAAGUGUGACGUUUGGUCUUUCCUAUAUUCCAGUACCUUUAUACUCCAUAUUGAAUUUAGUCAGCUUUCAUAUCAUAAAAAUAGCACAACAAAUACCUACUUAACACACUAUGGGUAUGGCUAAUGAAAUACUAUAUGGCAGUAACACCUAGUUUUCUUCUUGAGAAUUAGGAGGCUACUGCUCUGUUCAAUGAUAAAUACCUCUUCCAUCAGAUACAAUACUCAAGCAAGCAAAGUUCUUACAAAAAAAUUAAAAUAAAAAAAUGAGCAAACUAUAUUUUAUCACCCCACUUGUAAGGGGAUCAUUCAUGGUACUUUGAUCAGAAUAAAAAUUCAGAGGUAGAGAUACUCCUGUAACAGUAGUUCUGAUUGACUUGUGAACAUCUAAUAUGAUGAAUUUUGCGCUUUAACUUUAAAAAUUUUUAUUUUACAGGGAAAGAAACUACUGAUAAACAACUGUUUUAUUUCCAUAUGGUGGUAUCUUGAUUAGGGCAUAGUCGCGUAGAAUGAAAUAUGUUGAUAUUAUUCUGCAAAGUUAUGACAUGAUUAUUACCUUGUAAACAGGUCCAAAGCCCCCCUCACCAAGCUUAUUGUUUUGGG
Molecule: long non-coding RNA, 4057 nt
Filed under: Panax ginseng (ginseng)
Lineage: Eukaryota; Viridiplantae; Streptophyta; Magnoliopsida; Apiales; Araliaceae
Description: long non-coding RNA (PGIN_LNC011287)
Source: RNAcentral